Molecule: ribosomal RNA, 241 nt
Filed under: uncultured Staphylococcus sp.
Lineage: Bacteria; Bacillati; Bacillota; Bacilli; Caryophanales; Staphylococcaceae
Description: partial 16S ribosomal RNA
Rfam family: Bacterial small subunit ribosomal RNA
Source: RNAcentral
CGGACGGGUGAGUAACACGUGGAUAACCUACCUAUAAGACUGUGAUAACUUCGGGAAACCGGAGCUAAUACCGGAUAAUAUAUUGAACCGCAUGGUUCAAUAGUGAAAGACGGUUUUGCUGUCACUUAUAGAUGGAUCCGCGCCGCAUUAGCUAGUUUGUAAGGUAACGGCUUACCAAGGCAACGAUGCGUAGCCGACCUGAGAGGGUGAUCGGCCACACUGGAACUGAGACACGGUCCAG